GCAUAUCAAUAAGCGGAGGAAAAGAAACCAACAGGGAUUGCCUCAGUAACGGCGAGUGAAGCGGCAACAGCUCAAAUUUGAAAUCUGGCCUCUUUGGGGUCCGAGUUGUAAUUUGUAGAGGAUGUUUCGGGUACCGCCUCGGUUUAAAUUUCUUGGAACAGAAUGUCAAAGAGGGUGAGAAUCCCGUCUUGGACCGGCGGUAGGGCCCAUGUGAAACUCCUUCGACGAGUCGAGUUGUUUGGGAAUGCAGCUCAAAAUGGGUGGUAAAUUUCAUCUAAAGCUAAAUAUUGGCCAGAGACCGAUAGCGCACAAGUAGAGUGAUCGAAAGAUGAAAAGCACUUUGAAAAGAGAGUUAAACAGUAUGUGAAAUUGUUGAAAGGGAAGCGCUUACAACCAGACUUGCGCGCGGCGGUUCCCCCUUCCUUUUGGUUGGGCUACUCCGUCGUGUCCAGGCCAACAUCGGUUCUGGGGGUCGGUUAAAGACCCUGGGAAUGUACCUACCCUUCGGGCGUAGACUUAUAGCCCAGGGUGUCAUGCGACCUCCCGGGACCGAGGAACGCGCUUCGGCUCGGAUGUUGGCGUAAUGGUUGUCAGCGACCCGUCUUGAAACACGGACCAAGGAGUCUAACAUCUAUGCGAGUGUUUGGGUGUCAAACCCGGAACGCGAAAUGAAAGUGAACGGAGGUGGGAAGCCGUGAGGCUGCACCAUCGACCGAUCCUGAUGUCUUCGGAUGGAUUUGAGUAAGAGCAUAGCUGUUGGGACCCGAAAGAUGGUGAACUAUGCCUGAAUAGGGUGAAGCCAGAGGAAAACUCUGGUGGAGGCUCGCAGCGGUUCUGACGUGCAAAUCGAUCGUCAAAUUUGGGGUAUAGGGGCGAAAGACUAAUCGAACCAUCUGGUAGCUGGUUCCUGCG
This 912-nucleotide ribosomal RNA is filed under the name Exophiala equina. RNAcentral's name for it is "LSU rRNA". It matches the Rfam family "Eukaryotic large subunit ribosomal RNA", at positions 38 to 962 of the family's 3401-position model. Lineage: Eukaryota; Fungi; Ascomycota; Eurotiomycetes; Chaetothyriales; Herpotrichiellaceae. The record is from RNAcentral.